RNAcentral lists this ribosomal RNA (425 nucleotides) under uncultured Gammaproteobacteria bacterium. Its description in RNAcentral is "bacterial SSU rRNA". It matches the Rfam family "Bacterial small subunit ribosomal RNA", at positions 608 to 1029 of the family's 1533-position model. The record is from RNAcentral. Lineage: Bacteria; Pseudomonadati; Pseudomonadota; Gammaproteobacteria.
CUUAACCUGGGAAUUGCAUUCGAUACUGGUCAGCUAGAGUCUGGUAGAGGUAAGCGGAAUUCCGGGUGUAGCGGUGAAAUGCGUAGAUAUCCGGAGGAACAUCAGUGGCGAAGGCGGCUUACUGGACCAAGACUGACGCUCAGGCACGAAAGCGUGGGUAGCAAACAGGAUUAGAUACCCUGGUAGUCCACGCCCUAAACGAUGUCAACUAGCCGUUGGGUCCCCUUAAUAGGACUUAGUGGCGAAGCUAACGCGUUAAGUUGACCGCCUGGGGAGUACGGCCGCAAGGUUGAAACUCAAAGGAAUUGACGGGGGCCCGCACAAGCGGUGGAGCAUGUGGUUUAAUUCGAUGCAACGCGAAGAACCUUACCAGCCCUUGACAUCCUCGGAACUUGGCAGAGAUGCCUUGGUGCCUUCGGGAACCG